RNAcentral lists this ribosomal RNA (498 nucleotides) under uncultured bacterium. Its description in RNAcentral is "partial 16S ribosomal RNA". It matches the Rfam family "Bacterial small subunit ribosomal RNA", at positions 28 to 508 of the family's 1533-position model. The record is from RNAcentral.
GAUGAACGCUGGCGGCGUGCCUAAUACAUGCAAGUCGAGCGAACAGACGAGGAGCUUGCUCCUCUGACGUUAGCGGCGGACGGGUGAGUAACACGUGGAUAACCUACCUAUAAGACUGGGAUAACUUCGGGAAACCGGAGCUAAUACCGGAUAAUAUAUUGAACCGCAUGGUUCAAUAGUGAAAGACGGUUUUGCUGUCACUUAUAGAUGGAUCCGCGCCGCAUUAGCUAGUUGGUAAGGUAACGGCUUACCAAGGCAACGAUGCGUAGCCGACCUGAGAGGGUGAUCGGCCACACUGGAACUGAGACACGGUCCAGACUCCUACGGGAGGCAGCAGUAGGGAAUCUUCCGCAAUGGGCGAAAGCCUGACGGGGCAACGCCGCGUGAGUGAUGAAGGUCUUCGGAUCGUAAAACUCUGUUAUUAGGGAAGAACAAAUGUGUAAGUAACUAAGCACGUCUUGACGGUACCUAAUCAGAAAGCCACGGCUAACUACGUGC